This 1478-nucleotide ribosomal RNA is filed under the name uncultured bacterium. RNAcentral describes it as "bacterial SSU rRNA". It matches the Rfam family "Bacterial small subunit ribosomal RNA". The record is from RNAcentral.
AGAGUUUGAUCCUGGCUCAGGAUGAACGCUAGCGGCAGGCUUAACACAUGCAAGUCGAGGGGUAACGGGGAAGCUUGCUUCCGCCGACGACCGGCGCACGGGUGCGUAACGCGUAUACAAUCUACCUUAUACUGGGGUAUAGCCUUUAGAAAUGAAGAUUAACCCCCCAUAGUCUCUUAGAGUGGCAUCACUUCUAGAGUAAAGGUUACGGUAUAAGAUGAGUAUGCGUUCUAUUAGUUUGUUGGUGUGGUAACGGCACACCAAGACUACGAUAGAUAGGGGCCCUGAGAGGGGGAUCCCCCACACUGGUACUGAGACACGGACCAGACUCCUACGGGAGGCAGCAGUGAGGAAUAUUGGACAAUGGAGGCAACUCUGAUCCAGCCAUGCCGCGUGCAGGAAGACUGCCCUAUGGGUUGUAAACUGCUUUUAUACAGGAAGAAACACCUCUACGUGUAGAGGCUUGACGGUACUGUAAGAAUAAGGAUCGGCUAACUCCGUGCCAGCAGCCGCGGUAAUACGGAGGAUCCAAGCGUUAUCCGGAAUCAUUGGGUUUAAAGGGUCCGUAGGUGGAUAAUUAAGUCAGAGGUGAAAUCUUGCAGCUCAACUGUAAAAUUGCCUUUGAAACUGGUUAUCUUGAGUUAUUAUGAAGUAGUUAGAAUAUGUAGUGUAGCGGUGAAAUGCAUAGAUAUUACAUAGAAUACCAAUUGCGAAGGCAGAUUACUAAUAAUCAACUGACACUGAUGGACGAAAGCGUGGGUAGCGAACAGGAUUAGAUACCCUGGUAGUCCACGCCGUAAACGAUGGUUACUAGCUGUUUGGACUUCGGUCUGAGUGGCUAAGCGAAAGUGAUAAGUAACCCACCUGGGGAGUACGUUCGCAAGAAUGAAACUCAAAGGAAUUGACGGGGGCCCGCACAAGCGGUGGAGCAUGUGGUUUAAUUCGAUGAUACGCGAGGAACCUUACCAGGGCUUAAAUGUAAGUUGCAUUAGUUAGAGAUAGCUAUUUCUUCGGACCACUUACAAGGUGCUGCAUGGUUGUCGUCAGCUCGUGCCGUGAGGUGUCAGGUUAAGUCCUAUAACGAGCGCAACCCCUGUUGUUAGUUGCCAGCGAGUCAUGUCGGGAACUCUAGCAAGACUGCCAGUGCAAACUGUGAGGAAGGUGGGGAUGACGUCAAAUCAUCACGGCCCUUACGUCCUGGGCUACACACGUGCUACAAUGGUAGGUACAGAGAGCAGCCACUGCGCGAGCAGGAGCGAAUCUAUAAAACCUAUCACAGUUCGGAUCGGAGUCUGCAACUCGACUCCGUGAAGCUGGAAUCGCUAGUAAUCGGAUAUCAGCCAUGAUCCGGUGAAUACGUUCCCGGGCCUUGUACACACCGCCCGUCAGGCCAUGGAAGUUGGAAGUGCCUGAAGUCCGUCACCGUAAGGAGCGGCCUAGGGUAAAGUCGAUAACUAGGGCUAAGUCGUAACAAGGUA